This 71-nucleotide transfer RNA is filed under the name Pelotretis flavilatus (southern lemon sole). Its description in RNAcentral is "tRNA-Gly". It matches the Rfam family "tRNA". Rfam says of the family: Transfer RNA (tRNA) molecules are approximately 80 nucleotides in length. Lineage: Eukaryota; Metazoa; Chordata; Actinopteri; Pleuronectiformes; Rhombosoleidae. The record is from RNAcentral.
AUCUUUCUAGUAUUAAAUUAUUAUAAGUGACUUCCAAUCACCCGAUCUUGGUUAAAGUCCAAGAAAAGAUA